RNAcentral lists this ribosomal RNA (253 nucleotides) under uncultured bacterium. RNAcentral's name for it is "partial 16S ribosomal RNA". It matches the Rfam family "Bacterial small subunit ribosomal RNA", at positions 524 to 776 of the family's 1533-position model. The record is from RNAcentral.
UACGGAGGGUGCAAACGUUGCUCGGAAUCAUUGGGCGUAAAGCGCACGUAGGCGGCUUGUUAAGUCGGAUGUGAAAGCCCUCGGCUCAACCGAGGAAGUGCAUACGAAACUGGCGAGCUUGAAUAUGGAAGAGGGUCGCGGAAUUCCUGGUGUAGCGGUGAAAUGCGCAGAUAUCAGGAGGAACACCGGUGGCGAAGGCGGGUCUCUGGGCAACAACUGACGCUGAGGAGCGAAAGCGUGGGGAGCGAACAGG